RNAcentral lists this transfer RNA (91 nucleotides) under Hymenobacter arizonensis. RNAcentral's name for it is "Siccationidurans arizonensis tRNA_Ser_GGA". It matches the Rfam family "tRNA". From Rfam's summary of the family: Transfer RNA (tRNA) molecules are approximately 80 nucleotides in length. Their secondary structure includes four short double-helical elements and three loops (D, anti-codon, and T loops). Lineage: Bacteria; Pseudomonadati; Bacteroidota; Cytophagia; Cytophagales; Hymenobacteraceae. The record is from RNAcentral.
UGAGGGGUGUCCGAGUGGUCGAAGGAGCACGCCUGGAAAGUGUGUAUGGCUCAAAAGGUCAUCGUGGGUUCGAAUCCCAUCCCCUCAGCAA